AUUUGGGGGAAUGAAGUUAUAUAUUAAUAUAUAAAUAUAUACGCAUCGACUAUGUCGUAUAAAGUUCUAAAUAGAAGAUUGAUUAUGACAGAUUUCUAUUUAUGUGUCUCGACCAAUUCUUGUGCCAGCAGUCGCGGCAACACAAGUGAGACUAGUGUUAUUCAUCUUUAUUAGGUUUAAAGGGUACCUAGACGGUAAUUUCAGCCUGUAUAAGGUACAAAAAUACUAGAGUUUUAUUUGAGAGGUAAAUAUUAGGACUAUUGGUGUAAAGAUGAAAUUUUUUGAUACUAAUGGGACGUAUAACGGCGAAGGCAACCCUCUAUCUAUAAACUGACGUUAAGGGACGAAGGCUUGGGGAGCGAAUAGGAUUAGAUACCCUAGUAGUCCAGGCAGAAAAUUAUGAAUGUUAUAGACUAAAAAUAAUUGGUGUAUAAAUGAAAGUGUAAGCAUUCCACCUCAAGAGUAAUGUGGCAACGCUGGAACUGAAAUCAU
Molecule: ribosomal RNA, 492 nt
Filed under: Neopseudocercosporella brassicae
Lineage: Eukaryota; Fungi; Ascomycota; Dothideomycetes; Mycosphaerellales; Mycosphaerellaceae
Description: SSU rRNA
Rfam family: Bacterial small subunit ribosomal RNA
Source: RNAcentral